This 375-nucleotide ribosomal RNA is filed under the name uncultured bacterium. RNAcentral's name for it is "bacterial SSU rRNA". It matches the Rfam family "Bacterial small subunit ribosomal RNA", at positions 521 to 896 of the family's 1533-position model. The record is from RNAcentral.
UAAUACGAAGGGGGCUAGCGUUGCUCGGAAUUACUGGGCGUAAAGGGCGCGUAGGCGGAUAUUUAAGUCGGGGGUGAAAGCCCAGGGCUCAACCCUGGAAUUGCCUUCGAUACUGGAUAUCUUGAGUUCGGGAGAGGUGAGUGGAAUGCCGAGUGUAGAGGUGAAAUUCGUAGAUAUUCGGCGGAACACCAGUGGCGAAGGCGACUCACUGGCCCGAUACUGACGCUGAGGCGCGAAAGCGUGGGGAGCAAACAGGAUUAGAUACCCUGGUAGUCCACGCUGUAAACGAUGAGUGCUAGUUGUCGGCAUGCAUGCAUGUCGGUGACGCAGCUAACGCAUUAAGCACUCCGCCUGGGGAGUACGGUCGCAAGAUUA